This is a non-coding RNA of Zonotrichia albicollis (white-throated sparrow), 257 nucleotides long. The record is from RefSeq and is a predicted model, not a curated record. Lineage: Eukaryota; Metazoa; Chordata; Aves; Passeriformes; Passerellidae.
AGGCGCUCCGGAGGCCGCGGUAGAGCCCGGCGCGGUCUGAAAAUCAUUCGGGGUCUGCGGUGGCCCCGGGUGCCGUUCCUGGGCGCUGGGAGCGCGGCCCCGCCACGGGCUCGGCUGGCGCUUCACGGCGAUCCCGUCUCCGGAGGAGCUGUGAAGAGCACGGGGCUGCCGUGAUGGACGGCGACACGGGGGUUACUGCGGGGAACGAUUCGGUUUUGUAUUUUGAUGUGCAAUAAAAGAUGAAUUGAUUAAAAGAU